RNAcentral lists this ribosomal RNA (468 nucleotides) under Triticum aestivum (bread wheat). Its description in RNAcentral is "partial small subunit ribosomal RNA". The record is from RNAcentral. Lineage: Eukaryota; Viridiplantae; Streptophyta; Magnoliopsida; Poales; Poaceae.
AUGAGCUGGUUCAUCUUGGGCAUCGUUCUCCUUGCCGGAGGUGUGCCGGCGGUGGCGGAGUUCGCCGGCGGCAGCGCGAUGCUCCAGGCCGUGUGUCGGUCUAUGGAGGUGCGCGGCGCAACGAGGAGGCCGCGGUGGCUGCGGCAGCACGGUGAGGAGGCCGCGGAGGACCUGCGAGGUGGCGGCUUCAACGACACACAGCGACAUGGCGGCAUGAAGGCCGCAGCGAUGCAGGGCAAUAAGCCGUGGCGGCGUGCCGGGCGCGACCGGUGCGUGUUAUGGGUGCGCACGGGACGCGUCGGGCACGCCAGGACCGCGGGCGCGCGUACGAGCGUGCGGUUGACGUUGGGAGGAGGCGUAUGUCGCCGUUGUGCUCGAGUCCGUGCUCGAGUUCGGCUACAUCCUUCCGGCGUUUGUCGCGGGCGGCUGCCAUGGCGGACGCGGAGGCGGCGCGCGGUGAGUGUCUAG